ACUGCCGCGGAGGUGCUGCAUGGCUGUCGUCAGCUCGUGUCGUGAGAUGUUGGGUUAAGUCCCGCAACGAGCGCAACCCUUAUCCCUAGUUGCCAGCGAGUCAAGUCGGGCACUCUAGUGAAACCGCCCCGGAUAACGGGGAGGAAGGUGGGGAUGACGUCAAGUCCUCAUGGCCUUUAUGUCCAGGGCUACACACGUGCUACAAUGGUCGGUACAAACCGUCGCAAACCUGCGAAGGGGAGCUAAUCGGAAAAAGCCGGCCUCAGUUCGGAUUGGAGUCUGCAAUUCGACUCCAUGAAGCUGGAAUCGCUAGUAAUCGCAGAUCAGAACGCUGCGGUGAAUACGUUCCCGGGCCUUGUACACACCGCCCGUCACAUCACGAAAGUGGACUGCACUAGAAGCCGGUGAGCCAACCGCAAGGAGGCAGCCGUCCAAGGUAUGGUCCAUGAUUGGGGUGAAGUCGUAACAA
This 469-nucleotide ribosomal RNA is filed under the name uncultured Acidobacteriota bacterium. RNAcentral's name for it is "bacterial SSU rRNA". It matches the Rfam family "Bacterial small subunit ribosomal RNA", at positions 1026 to 1494 of the family's 1533-position model. Lineage: Bacteria; Pseudomonadati; Acidobacteriota. The record is from RNAcentral.